GUAGGAUGCUUGCUCCUCUUUACGUUAGCGGCGGACGGGUGAGUAACACGUGGAUAACCUACCUAUAAGACUGGGAUAACUUCGGGAAACCGGAGCUAAUACCGGAUAAUAUAUUGAACCGCAUGGUUCAAUAGUGAAAGACGGUUUUGCUGUCACUUAUAGAUGGAUCCGCGCCGCAUUAGCUAGUUGGUAAGGUAACGGCUUACCAAGGCAACGAUGCGUAGCGACCUGAGAGGGUGAUCGGCCACACUGGAACUGAGACACGGUCCAGACUCCUACGGGAGGCAGCAGUAGGUGAAUCUUCCGCAAUGGGCGAAAGCUGACGGAGCAACGCCGCGUGAGUGAUGAAGGUCUUCGGAUCGUAAAACUCUGUUAUUAGGGAAGAACAAAUGUGUAAGUAACUAUGCACGUCUUGACGGUACCUAAUCAGAAAGCCACGGCUAACUACGUGCCAGCAGCCGCGGUAAUACGUAGGUGGCAAGCGUUAUCCGGAAUUAUUGGGCGUAAAGCGCGCGUAGGCGGUUUUUUAAGGCUUAUGUGGAAGGCCCCGGGUUAACCCGGGGGGGGCAAUGGGAACUUGGAAAAUUUAGGUCAAGAGGGGGAAAGGGGAAUUCCAUGU
RNAcentral lists this ribosomal RNA (619 nucleotides) under Staphylococcus sp. Bt 39. Its description in RNAcentral is "bacterial SSU rRNA". It matches the Rfam family "Bacterial small subunit ribosomal RNA", at positions 71 to 674 of the family's 1533-position model. Lineage: Bacteria; Bacillati; Bacillota; Bacilli; Caryophanales; Staphylococcaceae. The record is from RNAcentral.